Molecule: ribosomal RNA, 541 nt
Filed under: Bifidobacterium pseudocatenulatum
Lineage: Bacteria; Bacillati; Actinomycetota; Actinomycetes; Bifidobacteriales; Bifidobacteriaceae
Description: bacterial SSU rRNA
Rfam family: Bacterial small subunit ribosomal RNA
Source: RNAcentral
GUGGUAAUGCCGGAUGCUCCGACUCCUCGCAUGGGGUGUCGGGAAAGAUUUCAUCGGUAUGGGAUGGGGUCGCGUCCUAUCAGGUAGUCGGCGGGGUAACGGCCCACCGAGCCUACGACGGGUAGCCGGCCUGAGAGGGCGACCGGCCACAUUGGGACUGAGAUACGGCCCAGACUCCUACGGGAGGCAGCAGUGGGGAAUAUUGCACAAUGGGCGCAAGCCUGAUGCAGCGACGCCGCGUGCGGGAUGACGGCCUUCGGGUUGUAAACCGCUUUUGAUCGGGAGCAAGCCUUCGGGUGAGUGUACCUUUCGAAUAAGCACCGGCUAACUACGUGCCAGCAGCCGCGGUAAUACGUAGGGUGCAAGCGUUAUCCGGAAUUAUUGGGCGUAAAGGGCUCGUAGGCGGUUCGUCGCGUCCGGUGUGAAAGUCCAUCGCUUAACGGUGGAUCUGCGCCGGGUACGGGCGGGCUGGAGUGCGGUAGGGGAGACUGGAAUUCCCGGUGUAACGGUGGAAUGUGUAGAUAUCGGGAAAGAAACACCA